GGUGUCUUGGCUAAGGUGUCUUGGCUAAUGUGUCUUGGCUAAUGUGUCUUGGCUAAGGUGUCUUGGCUAAUGUGUCUUGGCUAAGGUGUCUUGGCUAAUGUGUCUUGGCUAAUGUGUCUUGGCUAAGGUGUCUUGGCUAAGGUGUCUUGGCUAAGGUGUCUUGGCUAAGGUGUCUUGGCUAAUGUGUCUCGGCUAAGGUGUCUUGGCUAAUGUGUCUUGGCUAAGGUGUCUUGGCUAAGGUGUCUAGACUAAGGUGUCUUGGCUAAUGUGUCUUGGCUAAUGUGUCUUGGCUAAGGUGUCUUGGCUUAUGUGUCUUGGCUAAUGUGUCUUGGCUAAGGUGUCUUGGCUAAGGUGUCUUGGCUAGUGUGUCUUGGCUAAUGUGUCUCGGCUAAGGUGUCUUGGCUAAUGUGUCUUGGCUAAAGUGUCUUGGCUAAGGUGUCUUGGCUAAGGUGUCUUGGCUAAGGUGUCUCGGCUAAGGUGUCUUGGCUAAUGUGUCUUGGCUAAGGUGUCUUGGCUAAGGUGUCUUGGCUAAGGUGUCUUGGUUAAGGUGUCUUGGCUAAGGUGUCUUGGCUAAUGUGUCUUGGCUAAGGUGUCUUGGCUAAGGUGUCUUGGCUAAUGUGUCUUGGCUAAUGUGUCUUGGCUAAUGUGUCUUGGCUAAAGUGUCUUGGCUAAGGUGUCUUGGCUAAGGUGUCUUGGCUAAGGUGUCUUGGCUAAUGUGUCUUGGCUAAUGUGUCUUGGCUAAGGUGUCUUGGCUAAGGUGUCUUGGCUAAUGUGUCUUGGCUAAUGUGUCUUGGCUAAAGUGUCUUGGCUAAGGUGUCUUGGCUAAGGUGUCUUGGCUAAGGUGUCUUGGCUAAUGUGUCUUGGCUAAUGUGUCUUGGCUAAGGUGUCUUGGCUAAGGUGUCUUGGCUAAUGUGUCUUGGCUAAGGUGUCUUGGCUAAGGUGUCUUGGCUAAUGUGUCUUGGCUAAUGUGUCUUGGCUAAGGUGUCUUGGCUAAUGUGUCUUGGCUAAUGUGUCUUGGCUAAGGUGUCUUGGCUAAGGUGUCUUGGCUAAUGUGUCUUGGCUAAGGUGUCUUGGCUAAGGUGUCUUGGCUAAGGUGUCUUGGCUAAGGUGUCUUGGCUAAGGUGUCUUGGCUAAUGUGUCUUGGCUAAGGUGUCUUGGCUAAGGUGUCUUGGCUAAUGUGUCUUGGGUAAGGUGUCUUGGCUAAUGUGUCUUGGCUAAUGUGUCUUGGCUAAGGUGUCUUGGCUAAAGUGUCUUGGCUAAGGUGUCUUGGCUAAGGUGUCUUGGCUAAGGUGUCUUGGCUAAUGUGUCUUGGCUAAUGUGUCUUGGCUAAGGUGUCUUGGCUAAGGUGUCUUGGCUAAGGUGUCUUGGCUAAUGUGUCUCGGCUAAUGUGUCUUGGCUAAGGUGUCAUGGCUAAGGUGUCUUGGCUAAUGUGUCUUGGCUAAGGUGUCUUGACUAAUGUGUCUCGGCUAAUGUGUCUUGGCUAAUGUGUCUUGGCUAAGGUGUCUUGGCUAAUGUGUCUCGGCUAAGGUGUCUUGG
Long non-coding RNA from Anopheles funestus (African malaria mosquito), 1536 nucleotides. RefSeq lists it as uncharacterized. Lineage: Eukaryota; Metazoa; Arthropoda; Insecta; Diptera; Culicidae. The transcript has 3 exons. The record is from RefSeq and is a predicted model, not a curated record.